Molecule: ribosomal RNA, 427 nt
Filed under: uncultured bacterium
Lineage: Bacteria
Description: bacterial SSU rRNA
Rfam family: Bacterial small subunit ribosomal RNA
Source: RNAcentral
UCGAGAAUUUUUCACAAUGGGGGAAACCCUGAUGGAGCGACGCCGCGUGGGGGAUGAAUGGCUUCGGCCCGUAAACCCCUGUCAUUUGCGAGCAAAGCGCAUUAUUUAAAAGAUGAUGUGUUGAUAGUAGCGGAAGAGGAAGGGACGGCUAACUCUGUGCCAGCAGCCGCGGUAAUACAGAGGUCCCGAGCGUUGUUCGGAUUCACUGGGCGUAAAGGGUGCGUAGGUGGUGAGGUGUGUCGGAUGUGAAAUCUCGGAGCUCAACUCCGAAACUGCAUUGGAAACUACCUUGCUGGAGGGUUGGAGGGGGGACUGGAAUACUUGGUGUAGCAGUGAAAUGCGUAGAUAUCAAGUGGAACACCAGUGGCGAAGGCGAGUCCCUGGACAACUCCUGACACUGAGGCACGAAAGCUAGGGGAGCAAACAG